AACGUAGGACGCAAGCGUUAUCCGGAGUUACUGGGCGUAAAGCGCGGGCAGGCGGUCUUGCCAGUCUGAUGUGAAAUCUCUCAUGGGAGCAGCCAUUGGAAACUACAAGACUGGAGUCUGACAGAGGUAGGCGGAAUUCCGGGUGGAGUGGUGAAAUGCGUAGAGAUCCGGAGGAACACCAGAGGCGAAGGCGGCCUACUGGGUCAGUACUGACGCUCAUGCACGAAAGCGUGGGGAGCAAACAGG
This 246-nucleotide ribosomal RNA is filed under the name uncultured bacterium. RNAcentral's name for it is "partial 16S ribosomal RNA". It matches the Rfam family "Bacterial small subunit ribosomal RNA", at positions 524 to 776 of the family's 1533-position model. The record is from RNAcentral.